AUGGAUCUCACAGGACAUUGUAUUAUGUGCCAAAAGACUCCUCUGGGGAUCGGCUUGCCACACUCCACAUCUUCUCACUCUGCAAGGCUUGCAACUGUCCGCUCAGCCCCCACUGGUGGUGCUGCACUGGGAAGGAGUCAGAUCUCUGGGCUAUAGGCUCAUCCCUGGACAAAAGCACCAGAGGAAUGCUGUAAUGGAUAAUCUCACCAGAAAGAGAUGAAUGAGUGUCAAACAGACAAAAAUGGUGAGUGUCGAUCACAGACUCACAUGAUUUAUGGAGAGCUGGACCUUUAGGAAUGAGGAGCAGGACCACAUGGAAACUAAAAAAUUGUUAGCAACCAUUGUCUCUGAUAGUCUCUCAGUCUCUAGAUCUAUGCGUGCUCUUAUUUCUGCUUUUUGUUGAGCAUGUUCCUUUGUUCUCUCUACAAAAAAAAAAAAAAAAAAAGCCUUUAAUAAAAAUUCCUGUUUCUGGCUCCCCAUGACCUUACCUUCCAUGUGACUUUCACUCUGCCUGAUGCUGAUACUGGCCCACACAAUAUGGCUGUGCUGAUCAGCUCUCCACUGCCCUGUCUCAGCCUCUACUCCCAAUUCUAGAUGUCCAAGGGAAAGAAUACUGAAGUUGGGUCAGAGUCUAGUUAAGUUACAUUGACCCUUCCCAGCACUGUAAGUAGAUGGGGUAUUUUGAGAGAAGAAAUGUGUCUUCUGUUGACCUAUUCUACUUGACCGUGCAU
Molecule: long non-coding RNA, 731 nt
Filed under: Canis lupus familiaris (dog)
Lineage: Eukaryota; Metazoa; Chordata; Mammalia; Carnivora; Canidae
Description: lncRNA (ENSCAFG00040004636.1)
Source: RNAcentral